GAGGGUAUAGCUCAACGGUAGGGCACGUGGUUGGCAUGCAUGAGGUCCUGGGUUCAAUCCCCAGUACCUCCA
Molecule: transfer RNA, 72 nt
Filed under: Camelus dromedarius (Arabian camel)
Lineage: Eukaryota; Metazoa; Chordata; Mammalia; Artiodactyla; Camelidae
Also listed under: 1 other name
Rfam family: tRNA
About the family: Transfer RNA (tRNA) molecules are approximately 80 nucleotides in length. Their secondary structure includes four short double-helical elements and three loops (D, anti-codon, and T loops). Further hydrogen bonds mediate the characteristic L-shaped molecular structure. tRNAs have two regions of fundamental functional importance: the anti-codon, which is responsible for specific mRNA codon recognition, and the 3' end, to which the tRNAs corresponding amino acid is attached (by aminoacyl-tRNA synthetases). tRNAs cope with the degeneracy of the genetic code in two manners: having more than one tRNA (with a specific anti-codon) for a particular amino acid; and 'wobble' base-pairing, i.e. permitting non-standard base-pairing at the 3rd anti-codon position.
Source: Rfam by way of RNAcentral